Long non-coding RNA from Oncorhynchus keta (chum salmon), 772 nucleotides. RefSeq lists it as uncharacterized. Lineage: Eukaryota; Metazoa; Chordata; Actinopteri; Salmoniformes; Salmonidae. The record is from RefSeq and is a predicted model, not a curated record. The transcript is spliced from 3 exons.
CACACACACACACUCAAAAGCAUACACACACAUUAGCUGCCAGGAAAAUAUCAAUGGCAGUAAGCUAGCUCCCAGAAAGAAACCAUUUCUGUCUGUCUCCUUUCCUCCUCAGUCCUCACACCAGUCUUACGCAAUACAAUGAAUGCUUCAUUUGUUUCUUCUUUCUUCCUCAUCCCAUUAUACUUUCAUUUCUCUCUCUGUAACUUUCCCAGGUGGGAAUUAUGUCAUUGUUGUAAAACUUGGGAAUUUGGGGGAAAAUUACCCGAAUUUUUCGACCCUCGAUGUGCCCUCUCUCUUGGUUCUUACUUGUGAGCUGUGAAAAUAAUUUUGUCUUGAAGGACAGUAUAUAGUCAAUCAAUCAAUCUCUCCCCUGGAAAACAUUUAGACUUACUGCUUACUGUCAGCUUUCUCCUAAUGGCCCAUUCCCACACACUUGUUCUGUUUUACACAAUACUCAACCACCUGACAUUCUUCAUCCGUUCCUUCCUCCUACUCUCACUCGUGAUGUCAUCUGAGGUGAUGUCAUCUGAGGUGAUGUCAUCUGAGGUGAUGUCAUCUGAGGUGAUGUAUAGUACUGUAUGUAUGAGUGGGCCAGGACUGCCUGUCAUCUGAGGUGAUGUAUAGUACUGUAUGUAUGAGUGGGCCAGGACUGCCUGUCAUCUGAGGUGAUGUAUAGUACUGUAUGUAUGAGCGGGCCAGGACUGCCUGUCAUCUGAGGUGAUGUAUAGUACUGUAUGUAUGAGUGGGCCAGGACUGCCUGUCAUCUGAGGUG